This 468-nucleotide ribosomal RNA is filed under the name uncultured bacterium. RNAcentral describes it as "partial 16S ribosomal RNA". It matches the Rfam family "Bacterial small subunit ribosomal RNA", at positions 28 to 507 of the family's 1533-position model. The record is from RNAcentral.
GACGAACGCUGGCGGCGUGCUUAACACAUGCAAGUCGAACGGAAAGGCCCUGCUUUUGUGGGGUGCUCGAGUGGCGAACGGGUGAGUAACACGUGAGUAACCUGCCCUUGACUUUGGGAUAACUUCAGGAAACUGGGGCUAAUACCGGAUAGGAGCUCCUGCUGCAUGGUGGGGGUUGGAAAGUUUCGGCGGUUGGGGAUGGACUCGCGGCUUAUCAGCUUGUUGGUGGGGUAGUGGCUUACCAAGGCUUUGACGGGUAGCCGGCCUGAGAGGGUGACCGGCCACAUUGGGACUGAGAUACGGCCCAGACUCCUACGGGAGGCAGCAGUGGGGAAUAUUGCACAAUGGGCGGAAGCCUGAUGCAGCAACGCCGCGUGCGGGAUGACAGCCUUCGGGUUGUAAACCGCUUUCGCCUGUGACGAAGCGUGAGUGACAGUAAUGGGUAAAGAAGCACCGGCUAACUACGUG